Molecule: long non-coding RNA, 276 nt
Organism: Gorilla gorilla gorilla (western lowland gorilla)
Lineage: Eukaryota; Metazoa; Chordata; Mammalia; Primates; Hominidae
Exons: 3
Source: RefSeq, a predicted model, not a curated record
GGCUUCCUGGCAGAGAGCUCCUUUCUCCAGCUUCAGCGGCUGCAGAUUCAUGCUCAAGGUGACAAUGGGUUAGAUGGAACCGUAUGCCAAUCUUUGGAGCCAGGCAUAAGGCCUCACUCUGUCACCCAGGCCGGAGUACAGUGAUGCAAUCAUGGCUCACUGCAGCCUCCACAUCCCAGGCUUAAGUGAUCCCCCCACCUCAGCCUCCUGAGUAUCUGGGACUGCAGAAAAGCUGGUUCUCCACCGGACGGUGUAAAGUCGCACCUCAGACGUCUU